RNAcentral lists this unclassified non-coding RNA (2053 nucleotides) under Hevea brasiliensis (rubber tree). Lineage: Eukaryota; Viridiplantae; Streptophyta; Magnoliopsida; Malpighiales; Euphorbiaceae. The record is from RNAcentral.
ACAAAGUAAGAUUAGAUUAUUGUUCGUUUCCUUCUUGCCUUCCCCUUUGUUAGGGUUUGAAUCCCUAAUAAGGUGGUUAUAGGUAAUUGGGAAAGAAAAGAAUUAGGAAGAAGAGAAAUAGAGAAAUCGAAACCCAUGAUCUGCAUAGAGGAACCUUGGGGUGGAAGGCAAAUCUGGUAACUAUGGUUUGGUGAACGAGUUGAAAUAGUUUUUGUGUGGCUUUUAUCUCCCAUGUAUAUUGGACUAGAAUCCAUAAAGCUUUUCAUUUCUAUAUCUCAACUCUUUCCUUUAACAUGGAAAAAUUUUAGUUCUUGUGGUAGAUAUUUAAAGUCUGACUCAAGUCUGAUCCAUUGAGUUACAAUCAUAUUGGAAGGAAAGUGAAUUUAGUUGCAGACUGGGCAGCUGAAUCAUCCAUAAUGGUUGUUCUUCCCCCAAAUUGGUUUUCUAGUCCUGCUCCCCCACUUUCCAUCCUUUUUAAAAGACGUGUCAAUUUCUUCUGUGGAGUGAAGUUAUGAUGUUCUAAAAAAAGGCGCUAAACUGUAAAAAAAAAUCCAAACUUUUAAGUUUUUGCAAUUAUAUCCAGUCCUAUUUUUUGACAAUUGUAGCUAAAUUUCAAAAGUAUGUUGCAAUUGUAGCCCCAUGGUCAAAAUUAAGUAUAAUGAUGCUAACAUGACAUCCAACUCAGCCAAAAAAAUAUAUUAUUUUAUUAAUUGGUAUUGCAUUUCUUACAACCUAAUAAUAAAACAUCAAAACCUUUUCAAUUUUUUUCAAUUUUAGCCAAAUUUAAAGGUUUGUAUUAAUUAUAGCCAAUUGACCCAAAUUAAAUAAUUUUCUUUACAUAAUAUAGAAGUAAUGUGGGUUGGCUUAUAAGUUUUUCUUUGAGUUAAUACUUAUAGCUACGUUACAUAAAGACCAUUAUGAGGUAUAAUGGUAAGAGCUUAAGCUUUCAAUGGAAUGGUUGCAAUUCUAAGGACUAAUAAUACUUCAUGUGAGAAAGAGCAUUGAUGUGUUACGUACAAGAGAAAGGGGAAAGGCUGAUAAGUAGCUUAUUUUAAGUUAAUUAUGGCUUUUUAGGCUAUUAUACCUUUUUUAUCAUUUCUAUGAGAGUUUUUUUAUGCUUUUAAGAAUUCCCAGGCGCAAUUAGCUAUUGUUAGUUAUGGUUUGUUAUAUAACAAACUAUAAUAUAUACAGAAUCAAUUGUAAAGAGGGAAUUCACUGAUUGAUUAAUAGAGAAUUCGCUACUAUUCUCCCUCGAUUCCUCUCUCUAUUCCUCUUCUUCUCCUUCUUUUCCUACUAUCAUCUCCCUUAAUACUACAGGACUAGUUUUCAGUCCUAACAUCCUUCAAUGUAAAGUUUAUCAAAUAAUAACACCUAUGAUGCUAGAACUAAUGAAAAUUUUCAAGAAGCAUCUCUGAGCACCCUUAUCUGAAAAACACUUUAAUGUUUAUCAAAUAACAACACCUAUGAUGCACUAAUGAAAAAUUUUCAAGAAGAAGAAGAGCACAUGGAGUCUCUCUUCUUGGAAAGUCAACUUAAAUAAGAGUAUAGGACAGUAAAUAAGAGUAGAGGGCAGUGAGGUGAAAAAGUAGGGCCCUCAACAAGGUAUGACAGAAAUCAUAAUUCCACAUCUUUCCAUGGCCAUUUUUCAACUUCAGAAAAUAAACUGAGCAUGAUCUCUCGGUGGUUUUGCUGUAAUAAGCUACUCAACUCAUUCACUUACUCUUUUCUUUUAUAUUUCACUUGAUCAGGGAAAAAAAUCUCUCCUAGACCAUUUUUCAACUUCAAAAGUAAUUUGAGCAAUGCCCAAUGAUUGUUCUCUCAAGUAGUUUUUCUUCAAUAAGAUAGUUAUUCACUUUUUUUCUUUUCUUUUCUGUUCUUACUUGAUCAAAGAAAAAACAGUUAUAUAUUCAAAUAAGAAGAAAGAGUCAGUAAGUCAAAUAUGUAAUAACAGAAGCGAAUUUGAUGAACAAGAUAGUAUGAACAGUUGAACACAUUAAGAGAAGUUAUACCUUCUCAGGACAGUCAAAUAUUUCUAAUUCCUUUUCAAUUAAAU